AAACUGAUCUUCCCGUGAAGAAGCGGGAAUAUAUAUAUAAGACGAGAAGACCCCAUGGAGCUUUAAACCCAACAGCACCUAUUCUUUUUAAACCCACCCAUUCAUAUAGUAAAUGCUUGUUUGUUUUAGGUUGGGGUGACCGCGGAGUAAAAAUUAACCUCCACGAAAAAGGGCAUAAAAGCCUUAUCAAAGAAUUACACUUCUAUGAAUUAGUAAACUAAUUUUUGAUGAUCCGAUAUUCGAUCAACGAACCAAGUUACCCUGGGGAUAACAGCGCAAUCCACCUCAAGAGCUCCUAUCGACAAGUGGGUUUACGACCUCGAUGUUGGAUCAGGGUACCCCAGUGGUGCAGCAGCUACUAAAGGUUCGUUUGUUCAACGAU
RNAcentral lists this ribosomal RNA (382 nucleotides) under Boophis majori. Its description in RNAcentral is "partial 16S ribosomal RNA". It matches the Rfam family "Bacterial large subunit ribosomal RNA", at positions 2039 to 2588 of the family's 2925-position model. The record is from RNAcentral. Lineage: Eukaryota; Metazoa; Chordata; Amphibia; Anura; Mantellidae.